UGAUCCUGGCUCAGGAUGAACGCUAGCGGCAGGCCUAACACAUGCAAGUCGAGGGGUAACAGGAGAGCUUGCUUUUGCUGACGACCGGCGCACGGGUGCGUAACGCGUAUGCAACCUACCUCAUACAGGAGGAUAGCCCUUGGAAACGAGGAUUAAUACUCCAUGGUAUCAUGAAUUCGCAUGUUUUUAUGAUUAAAGUAUUACGGUAUGAGAUGGGCAUGCGUCCCAUUAGCUAGUUGGUGAGGUAACGGCUCACCAAGGCGACGAUGGGUAGGGGGCCUGAGAGGGUGGUCCCCCACACUGGUACUGAGACACGGACCAGACUCCUACGGGAGGCAGCAGUGAGGAAUAUUGGUCAAUGGAGGCAACUCUGAACCAGCCAUGCCGCGUGAAGGAUGACGGCCCUAUGGGUUGUAAACUUCUUUUAUAGAGGAAGAAACUUGUCUACGUGUAGACAACUGACGGUACUCUACGAAUAAGGAUCGGCUAACUCCGUGCCAGCAGCCGCGGUAAUACGGAGGAUCCAAGCGUUAUCCGGAUUCAUUGGGUUUAAAGGGUCCGUAGGCGGGUCUUUAAGUCAGUGGUGAAAGCCGACAGCUCAACUGUCGAACUGCCAUUGAUACUGGAGACCUUGAGUACAAAUGAAGUAGGCGGAAUGAGUCAUGUAGCGGUGAAAUGCAUAGAUAUGACUCAGAACACCGAUUGCGAAGGCAGCUUACUAACAUGUAACUGACGCUGAGGGACGAAAGCGUGGGGAGCGAACAGGAUUAGAUACCCUGGUAGU
Molecule: ribosomal RNA, 784 nt
Filed under: uncultured marine bacterium
Lineage: Bacteria
Description: bacterial SSU rRNA
Rfam family: Bacterial small subunit ribosomal RNA
Source: RNAcentral